GCUCGCUUCUUCAGCUCAUAUAAGGUAAAAGGCAGCGAGGCCUCCGUGGCCAGACAGCCACGGGCAAGGGGCUGAGCAGAGGGGGGUCCCAUGCCAGUUGCUUAAAAAUGCCCCCCGUAGCAUCAAGAGGUGCCAGCCGAGUCAACUUAGGUGAGAAGCAGUGACACCCACAACCAUACCUCAAAUAGGGUGAGCCUCCACCUCCGAAGAGUCAUUCCUGGGCCAGACAACAGCCAAGGCAAGAGUGAUGGCUAGUAGGAUCCCCCGCCACACAGGAGAAUGACGUGCUUGUGAGAGAAAUCCUCCCAAGAGCCAGGAAAGGGACGGCGGUGGCAGCCCUGCUCCCAGAGCUAACUGAGCUUCCCAAAUGACAGAAGCCAGAGAGUCCCCAGUCUGGAGACAUUUUCUGAAGAUGUGGGGAAAGGGAAAAAAGCGGGCUGUCCCCAGCACCAGGCCUCCAAGGGCCGAGAGACAACACCCAAGAGCACCAGGUGAUUUCCUCCCCCUCAACCUCGAAUGCUCUGCAAGGGCAGGGACUAUACUGAGGCUGUGUUAGCCCCAAGUGCAAGGACAUAAUCCCGAGCACACAGAAGUGAUGAGUCUGCUGAAUGAGCCAGCACAACUAUGAGACCCUGCCCUAAACCCAGAGGACUAAGAAACCUCAGGCACGGAGGUUAAGGCGAGGGGCCAGGCCCUGCUGCUAUGAGUUAAGAAGCCCAGCACGGUACCUUGUACUCUUAUCCCAGGGAAAUUCUAUUUCUCUGGAGUCUUGGAGACCUAUGGGAAUAUAUGUAGUUAAACAUUCGCCAGAUUGAUUACUCUAGAAUCACAGGGACAGAACUGGACAGUCUUUAUCCAAGGAUGGGACAAGGAAGAUGAGGCAAAGCCCUUCCUGGCUGAACACUUGCCUCUUAGUACCGUCUGGCUAUUUACUUCUCCUUAAGAUGGGCCACCCUGUGUCCAGGUCCCAGAGCACA
This is a long non-coding RNA of Phodopus roborovskii (desert hamster), 977 nucleotides long. RefSeq lists it as uncharacterized. The record is from RefSeq and is a predicted model, not a curated record. The transcript is spliced from 4 exons. NCBI's taxonomy places the organism in Eukaryota, Metazoa, Chordata, Mammalia, Rodentia, Cricetidae.